AUGACCUCCGCGCACUCCAAGCUCUACUCCGAUGACGUCAGCCUCGUGGUGGUGGUCGUCGACACCAACCCCUUCUUCUGGGCCGGCGCCGCGCUCCCCUUCGCCGACUUCUUGUCCCACCUGAUCCACUUCGUGAACUCGCUCCUGCUGCUGAGCAACCUCAACCACGUGGUCAUCAUCGCCGCGGGUGUCAGCUCCUGCGCCUACGUCUUCGACUCGGGCAAUGCUUAUGCCGGAGGCACGGCAGAUGUUGCUGAAACCUUGGGCAAGGCGAGCCGCAAGAUGGAGGAGUUCAUUAAGCAGGAUGCUCGUGAGACUGCCAGCAAUGGCACCGUUGCUGAUGGCGGUGCCGCGUCGCUGUUUUCUGGCGCGCUGUCCCUUGCUCUGUGCUAUAUACAGAGGAUUUUUCGGUCUGGUACUCGGCAUCCACAGCCUCGGAUUUUGUGCCUGCAAGGUUCUCCAGAUGGACCUGAACAAUAUGUGGCAGUGAUGAAUUCAAUAUUUUCGGCACAGCGUUCCAUGGUUCCAAUUGAUACAUGUAUCGUGGGGACACAAGACUCUGCUUUCUUGCAGCAGGCUUCAUAUAUAACAGGGGGAGUUUAUAUGAAGCCCCAAGAACUAAGUGGUCUAUUUCAAUACCUUGCUGCUGUAUUUGCAACGGACUUGCACUCGAGAACUUUUCUGCGCCUCCCUAAGACCCUGGGAGUGGAUUUCCGUGCCUCAUGUUUCUGCCACAAGAAGACUAUUGACAUGGGAUAUGUUUGUUCAGUUUGCUUAUCAAUAUUCUGCAAGUACCAUAAGAAAUGUUCGACCUGUGGGUCAGAAUUCAGCCGUGUCAGCAUGCCGGAUUUGAAUUCCUUGCCAGAUCAAAGGCAGUAG
RNAcentral lists this ribosomal RNA (879 nucleotides) under Triticum aestivum (bread wheat). RNAcentral's name for it is "partial small subunit ribosomal RNA". Lineage: Eukaryota; Viridiplantae; Streptophyta; Magnoliopsida; Poales; Poaceae. The record is from RNAcentral.